RNAcentral lists this ribosomal RNA (902 nucleotides) under uncultured organism. RNAcentral describes it as "bacterial SSU rRNA". It matches the Rfam family "Bacterial small subunit ribosomal RNA", at positions 468 to 1386 of the family's 1533-position model. The record is from RNAcentral.
UAUGACGGUACCCUUUCGAAUAAGAGGUUGCUAACUCUGUGCCAGCAGCAGCGGUAAUACAGAGACCUCGAGCGUUAUCCGGAUUUACUGGGCGUAAAGCGUCUGUAGGGGGUUUGUUAAGUUCCAAGUAAAAUCUUAAGGCUCAACUUUAAGUUCGCUUGGAAAACUAAUAAACUGGAGUCCAGCAGAGGUGCAUGGAACUUGCGGUGUAGGAGUGAAAUCCGUUGAUAUCGCAAGGAACACCAAAGGCGAAGGCAUUGCACUGGGCUGGUACUGACCCUGAGAGACGAAAGCGUGGGGAGCAAAACGGAUUAGAUACCCGUGUAGUCCACGCCGUAAACGAUGGAUACUAGAUGUUCGGGGAUUCGACCCCCUGGGUGUCACAGCUAACGCGUUAAGUAUCCCGCCUGGGAAGUACGGCCGCAAGGCUAAAACUCAAAGGAAUAGACGGGGAUCCGCACAAGCGGUGGAGCGUCUGGUUUAAUUUGAUAGUAAGCAAUGGACCUCACCAAGGUUUGACAUUCUAUGACAACCCUGGAAACAGGGCUUCCUUCGGGCAUAGUGACAGGUGCUGCAUGGUCGUCGUCAGUUCGUGCCGUGAGGUGUUCCGUUAAGUCGGGAAACGAACGAAACCCUCGUCGCAUGUUACAAAUUUCAUGCGAGACUGCCCGGGUCAACCGGGAGGAAGGCGGGGAUGACGUCAGAUCAGCAUGGCCCUUAUACCUUGGGCUACACAGGCGCUACAAUGGCCGGUACAAAGGGUUGCAAAACCGCGAGGUGAAGCUAAUCCCAUAAAGCCGGUCCAAGUUCGGAUUGGAGGCUGCAACUCGCCUCCAUGAAGUUGGAAUCGCUAGUAAUCGUGGAUCAGCCAUACCACGGUGAUACGUUCCCGGAUCUUGUAC